Molecule: ribosomal RNA, 1956 nt
Filed under: human gut metagenome
Description: bacterial LSU rRNA
Rfam family: Bacterial large subunit ribosomal RNA
Source: RNAcentral
UGGUUCUCUCCGAAAUGCAUUUAGGUGCAGCGUCGGAUCGAUUACAUCCGGGGGGUAGAGCGACUGGAUGCUUGCGGGCCCAUAUCGGGUACCAACAGCAACCAAACUCCGAAUACCCGUGAUGCGUAUCCCGGCAGUGAGUCGGCGGGGGAUAAGCUCCGUCGUCGAAAGGGAAACAGCCCAGAUCGUCGUCUAAGGUCCCCAAGCGUGUGCUAAGUGGGAAAGGAUGUGGAGUCGCAUAGACAGCCAGGAGGUUGGCUCAGAAGCAGCCACCCUUGAAAGAGUGCGUAACAGCUCACUGGUCUAGUGGUUCCGCGCCGACAAUGUAGCGGGGCUCAAGCACACCACCGAAGACGCGGCAGUAGCUUUGCUACUGGGUAGGAGAGCGUCCCAUGCGGGGCGAAGCGGCGGCGCAAGCCCGCCGUGGACCGCAUGGGAGUGAGAAUGCAGACAUGAGUAGCGAAAGACGGGUGAAGAUCCCGUCCGCUGGACGACCAAGGGUUCCAGGGCCACGUUCAUCGUCCCUGGGUGAGUCGGGUCCUAAGGCGAGGCCGACAGGCGUAGUCGAAUGGAUGAACGGGUCGAUAUUCCCGUACCGGCAUGCAACCGACAAAACCGAAUCCGCGAGUACUAACCUCCGGGUCCGGGCUUACGUCUCCUUCGGGAGCCGGAUGCCCUGGCCUGUUGGGACCGUAACGGUAGUAGGUCAGCGCGGGAGUGACGCAGAAGGGUAGCCGGCCGCGGAGGUGGUCUUCCGUGGUCAAGCACGCAGCCCGUCCCACAGGCAAAUCCGUGGGGCGCGUGGGCGAGGUGCGAUGAUGGGCGCCGCAGGGCGCGAUAUCCGGUGAUCCCGGCUGCCGAGAAAAGCUUCGGCGUGAGGCGGCGUGCCGCCCGUACCCCAAACCGACACUGGUGGUCAGGUAGAGAAUACCAAAGCGAUCGAGCGAAUCCUGGUCAAGGAACUCGGCAAAUCACUCCCGUUCCUUCGGUUUAAGGGAGACCCCCGAUGGUGAAGCGGCUUGCCCGUGGAGCUUUUGGGGGUGGCACAGACCAGGGGGUAGCGACUGUUUACCAAAAACACAGGAGCGUGCGAAGGCGCAAGCCGCUGUAUACGCUCUGACGCCUGCCCGGUGCCGGAAGGUUAAGAGGAUCCGUCAGGCCUCGGCCGAAGCGGUGAAUUCAAGCCCCGGUAAACGGCGGUGGUAACUAUAACCAUCCUAAGGUAGCGAAAUUCCUUGUCGGGUAAGUUCCGACCUGCACGAAUGGCGUAACGACUUCCCCACUGUCUCGACCAGGAGCUCGGCGAAAUUGCAGUACGAGUAAAGAUGCUCGUUAAGCGCAGAAGGACGAAAAGACCCCGGGACCUUUACUAUACCUUGGUAUUGGCAUUCGGUGUGGAUUGUGUAGCAUAGGCGGAAGGCUUCGAAGCCACGGCGCCAGCCGCGGUGGAGCCGCAAGGUGAAAUACCGCUCUGUUCGCAUUGGAUGUCUAACCUCGACCAGUCAUCCUGGUCAGGGACAGUGCCUGGCGGGUAGUUUAACUGGGGCGGUUGCCUCCCAAAGAGUAACGGAGGCGCUCAAAGGUUCCCUCAGCCCGGUUGGCAAUCGGGUGGCGAGUGUAAGUGCACAAGGGAGCUUGACUGCGAGACUGACGGGUCGAGCAGGGACGAAAGUCGGAACUAGUGAUCCGGUGCCGGUGUACGGACGCGGCAUCGCUCAACGGAUAAAAGGUACCCCGGGGAUAACAGGCUGAUCAUUCCCAAGAGUCCAUAUCGACGGGAUGGUUUGGCACCUCGAUGUCGGCUCGUCGCAUCCUGGGGCUGGAGCAGGUCCCAAGGGUUCGGCUGUUCGCCGAUUAAAGCGGCACGCGAGCUGGGUUCAGAACGUCGUGAGACAGUUUGGUCUCUAUCCUCUGCGCUCGUCGGAAUGUUGAGGAGGCCUGCCCAUAGUACGAGAG